GUCUAUGGCCACACCACCCUGAACGUGCCCAAUCUCGUCUGAUCUCAGAAGCUAAGCAGGGUCAGGCCUGGCUAGUACUUGGAUGGGAGACCCAGAAAACUAUAUUCCUAAGAGCUGUACAUA
Mustela putorius furo (domestic ferret) is the source of this 123-nucleotide ribosomal RNA. The record is from Ensembl. Lineage: Eukaryota; Metazoa; Chordata; Mammalia; Carnivora; Mustelidae.